CUUGGCGGCGAGUGGCGGACGGGUGAGUAAUAUAUCGGAACGUGCCCCCUAUCGGGGGAUAACUACUCUAAAGAGUGGCUAAUACCGCAUACGCCCUACGGGGGAAAGGGGGGGAUCGCAAGACCUCUCACUAUUGGAGCGGCCGAUAUCGGAUUUUCUAGUUGGUGGGGUAAAGGCUCACCAAGGCAACGAUCCGUAGCUGGUUUGAGAGGACGACCAGCCACACUGGGACUGAGACACGGCCCAGACUCCUACGGGAGGCGCAGUGGGGAAUUUUGGACAAUGGGGGAAACCCUGAUCCAGCCAUCCCGCGUGUAUGAUGAAGGCCUUCGGGUUGUAAAGUACUUUUGGCAGAGAAGAAAAGGUAUCUCCUAAUACGAGGUACUGCUGACGGUAUCUGCAGAAUAAGCACCGGCUAACUACGUGCCAGCAGCCGCGGUAAUACGUAGGGUGCAAGCGUUAAUCGGAAUUACUGGGCGUAAAGCGUGUGUAGGCGGUUCGGAAAGAAAGAUGUGAAAUCCCAGGGCUCAACCUUGGAACUGCAUUUUUAACUGCCGAGCUAUAGUAUGUCAGAGGGGGGUAGAAUUCCACGUGUAGCACUGAAAUGCGUAGAUAUGUGGAGGAAUACCGAUGGCGAAGGCAGCCCCCUGGGAUAAUACUGACGCUCAGACACGAAAGCGUGUGGAGCAAACAGGAUUAGAUACACUGGUAGUCCACGCCCUAAACGAUGUCAACUAGCUGUUGGUGCCGUUAGGCCUUAGUAGCGCAGCUAACGCGUGAAGUUGACCGCCUGGUGAGUACGGUCGCAAGAUUAAAACUCAUAGGAAUUGACGGCGACCCGCACAAGCGGUGGAUGAUGUGGAUUAAUUCGAUGCAACGCGAAAAACCUUACCUACCCUUGACAUGUCUGGAGAGCCGAAGAGAUUUGGCCGUGCUCGCAUGAGAACCUCAACACAGGUGCUGCAUGGGUGUCGUCACCUCGCGUCCCGAGAUAUUGGGU
Molecule: ribosomal RNA, 1000 nt
Filed under: Alcaligenes faecalis
Lineage: Bacteria; Pseudomonadati; Pseudomonadota; Betaproteobacteria; Burkholderiales; Alcaligenaceae
Description: bacterial SSU rRNA
Rfam family: Bacterial small subunit ribosomal RNA
Source: RNAcentral